GCGUGGAUAAUCCUGACGGGUCUUUUUCAAGAUCUCUCUCUCUCUCUCUAUCUCUCUCUCUCUCUCUCUCUAUAUAUAUAUAUAGAGAGAGAGAGAGAGAGAGAGAGAGAGAGAGAGAGAUAUCUUGAAAUAGACCCGUCAAGGUCUCCACG
Molecule: microRNA precursor, 152 nt
Filed under: Pelobates cultripes (western spadefoot toad)
Lineage: Eukaryota; Metazoa; Chordata; Amphibia; Anura; Pelobatidae
Source: RNAcentral